CCGGUGGCUGCUGGUUCACAUGGCUGGCUGCUAAUGUAAAAGUUUUCCACAGAGAAGUCCCAGAGUUCUAAGAUCUUUCUCCAUCACACCCACCACGGAAGAGCACUCUGGAACAGAAGUGGUUCCGACGGACUAAUUCCAUUUCUCAAUGUCAAACCGGAGUGAGCUGGUAAGACCGCACUGGGGAAGGUGGAAAACAGGACGGAGUUCGGAGCGGGAUUAGAGACAGCUCCAAUUGUUUGUGUAAAAUGGAACUCUACAGUUAGGAAAAAAAAUUACGGUACCAGGAUGGAUGGAUAGACAAAUUGAUGGAUGGGCACAAAGACAGAUGAGUGAAUCCUGUGAGAAGCACGAUAGUUUGUGUACUUACCAACAAAUGAAGACCCGUAAACUCAUUGUGGACAUGCCAAUGACAGUGAUUGCUAAUCAUGUGUAUUCAGCAACAUAUAAACACUCAGCCUUUACUUUCUCUUAUUCAGAUAAAAU
This 486-nucleotide long non-coding RNA is filed under the name Equus caballus (horse). RNAcentral describes it as "lncRNA (ENSECAG00000049731.1)". Lineage: Eukaryota; Metazoa; Chordata; Mammalia; Perissodactyla; Equidae. The record is from RNAcentral.